This 253-nucleotide ribosomal RNA is filed under the name uncultured bacterium. RNAcentral describes it as "partial 16S ribosomal RNA". It matches the Rfam family "Bacterial small subunit ribosomal RNA", at positions 524 to 776 of the family's 1533-position model. The record is from RNAcentral.
GACAGAGGGUGCAAACGUUGUUCGGAAUUACUGGGCGUAAAGCGCGUGUAGGCUGCCCCGCAAGUCAGGUGUGAAAGCCUGGGCUCAACCUAGGAAGUGCACUUGAAACUGCGGGGAUCGAGGGCUGGAGAGGGAAGCGGAAUUCUCGGUGUAGAGGUGAAAUUCGUAGAUAUCGAGAGGAACACCGGUGGCGAAGGCGGCUUCCUGGACAGUUACUGACGCUGGAGACGCGAAAGCGUGGGGAGCAAACAGG